GUGGAGAUAGCUCAGUAGGUAGAGUACCGGCCUGCCUCGCCGGGUGUCACAGGUUCGAUUCCUGUUUUCCACC
RNAcentral lists this transfer RNA (73 nucleotides) under Leptospiraceae bacterium. Its description in RNAcentral is "tRNA-Gly". It matches the Rfam family "tRNA". Rfam says of the family: Transfer RNA (tRNA) molecules are approximately 80 nucleotides in length. The record is from RNAcentral. Lineage: Bacteria; Pseudomonadati; Spirochaetota; Leptospiria; Leptospirales; Leptospiraceae.